UACGUAGGGCGCAAGCGUUAUCCGGAAUUAUUGGGCGUAAAGAGUUCGUAGGCGGUUUGUCGCGUCGUUCGUGAAAACUUGGGGCUUAACUCCAAGCGUGCGGGCGAUACGGGCAGACUUGAGUACUACAGGGGAGACUGGAAUUCCUGGUGUAGCGGUGAAAUGCGCAGAUAUCAGGAGGAACACCGGUGGCGAAGGCGGGUCUCUGGGCAACAACUGACGCUGAGGAGCGAAAGCGUGGGGAGCGAACAGG
This 253-nucleotide ribosomal RNA is filed under the name uncultured bacterium. RNAcentral describes it as "partial 16S ribosomal RNA". It matches the Rfam family "Bacterial small subunit ribosomal RNA", at positions 524 to 776 of the family's 1533-position model. The record is from RNAcentral.